This 213-nucleotide ribosomal RNA is filed under the name Triticum aestivum (bread wheat). RNAcentral describes it as "partial small subunit ribosomal RNA". The record is from RNAcentral. Lineage: Eukaryota; Viridiplantae; Streptophyta; Magnoliopsida; Poales; Poaceae.
AUGGAUAUCCUCGUCUCUGCAAUACUAGGUGACCUCGUCAGUAGGUCAGCGUCAUUUGUGAUCAGCAAAUACUUCCAGCAGCAGCCUGGCAUCGGCAAGAUUCUCCAGAGGCUACAGAGUGUCCUACUGAGAAUCGACAUCAUCGUCGAGGAGGCCGAGGCGCGGCACAUCACCAACCAGGGGAUGCUCCGUCAGCUCAAGAUGUUGCGGUAA